AACAUCCUUUCCUUGGGGUUGUGCUGCGGUCCAGUGAGGGCAUAGUGAGGACGGUACUGCCAUCACCUACAUGGCUUGGCCACAUCCACUAGAGCUUUGCUUUACAUUGGUGCAAUUUUUGGGGAA
This is a small nuclear RNA of Otolemur garnettii (small-eared galago), 126 nucleotides long. NCBI's taxonomy places the organism in Eukaryota, Metazoa, Chordata, Mammalia, Primates, Galagidae. The record is from Ensembl.